RNAcentral lists this transfer RNA (74 nucleotides) under Megasphaera paucivorans. RNAcentral describes it as "tRNA-Gly". It matches the Rfam family "tRNA". Rfam says of the family: Transfer RNA (tRNA) molecules are approximately 80 nucleotides in length. Their secondary structure includes four short double-helical elements and three loops (D, anti-codon, and T loops). Lineage: Bacteria; Bacillati; Bacillota; Negativicutes; Veillonellales; Veillonellaceae. The record is from RNAcentral. RNAcentral also lists the same sequence under 3 other names.
GCGGAUGUAAUUCAGUGGUAGAAUACAAGCUUCCCAAGCUUGGUACGAGGGUUCGAUCCCCUUCAUCCGCUCCA